CCUACGGGUGGCAGCAGUCGGGAAUAUUGCGCAAUGGAGGAAACUCUGACGCAGUGACGCCGCGUGCAGGAAGAAGGUUUUCGGAUUGUAAACUGCUUUAGACAGGGAAGAAAAAAGACAGUACCUGUAGAAUAAGCUCCGGCUAACUACGUGCCAGCAGCCGCGGUAAUACGUAGGGAGCAAGCGUUAUCCGGAUUUAUUGGGUGUAAAGGGUGCGUAGACGGAGAAGCAAGUUAGUUGUGAAAUCCCUCGGCUUAACUGAGGAACUGCAACUAAAACUACUUCCCUUGAGUACUGGAGAGGAAAGCGGAAUGCCUGGUGUAGCGGUGAAAUGCGUAGAUAUCAGGAGGAACACCGGUGGCGAAGGCGGCCUGCUGGACUGCGACUGACGUUGAGGCCCGAAAGCGUGGGGAGCAAACAGGAUUAGAUACCCUUGUAGUC
RNAcentral lists this ribosomal RNA (441 nucleotides) under uncultured bacterium. RNAcentral's name for it is "partial 16S ribosomal RNA". It matches the Rfam family "Bacterial small subunit ribosomal RNA", at positions 338 to 795 of the family's 1533-position model. The record is from RNAcentral.